UAGUUCAUCAAAUAGUAGCGCUGUUAUUUGGUCAAUUUGGUCACCUGUCAGCUGCGCUACUGUUUUAGCAGCGCGUUUAGUAGCGACCGGUAAAGUGUCAAGUAAUGAUACUGCGCUGACAAACGGCUUAUACUCACCACCGAAAUGAAGCUUAUGAUAAAUAAAAUACUGCUGCUUGCUGGUCACUGAUUGAAGAUCGUUCAGUGGCUACCAUUGGCCAAUCUCACCAACGGGAUAUAAUAAGAACUGAUGCAGGUUUAUAUCUAUUCGGAACAAAGUUAGUACAGUUUUUAAACCGAUGUUGGAUUUUUCUCCAGAUACAGGCAACCCACUUAACUUUGGAAGUAGUGCGCUGGAUUCGUCUAAAGAUAUGUUAAACAUCCGGAGGAAAAUAAAAUGAUAUGUAAAACAAUUAA
Molecule: long non-coding RNA, 416 nt
Organism: Armigeres subalbatus
Lineage: Eukaryota; Metazoa; Arthropoda; Insecta; Diptera; Culicidae
Exons: 3
Source: RefSeq, a predicted model, not a curated record